GGCGCACGGGUGCGUAACGCGUGGGAAUCUGCCCUUCGGUUCGGAAUAACUCAGGGAAACUUGAGCUAAUACCGGAUGAUGACGUAAGUCCAAAGAUUUAUCGCCGAAGGAUGAGCCCGCGUAAGAUUAGCUAGUUGGUGGGGUAAAGGCCUACCAAGGCUACGAUCUUUAGCUGGUCUGAGAGGAUGAUCAGCCACACUGGGACUGAGACACGGCCCAGACUCCUACGGGAGGCAGCAGUGGGGAAUAUUGGACAAUGGGCGAAAGCCUGAUCCAGCAAUGCCGCGUGAGUGAUGAAGGCCUUAGGGUUGUAAAGCUCUUUUACCCGGGAUGAUAAUGACAGUACCGGGAGAAUAAGCUCCGGCUAACUCCGUGCCAGCAGCCGCGG
RNAcentral lists this ribosomal RNA (388 nucleotides) under uncultured bacterium. RNAcentral describes it as "bacterial SSU rRNA". It matches the Rfam family "Bacterial small subunit ribosomal RNA", at positions 97 to 520 of the family's 1533-position model. The record is from RNAcentral.